RNAcentral lists this ribosomal RNA (939 nucleotides) under delta proteobacterium FM3-E11. RNAcentral describes it as "bacterial SSU rRNA". It matches the Rfam family "Bacterial small subunit ribosomal RNA", at positions 85 to 1010 of the family's 1533-position model. Lineage: Bacteria; Deltaproteobacteria. The record is from RNAcentral.
AGUGAGUAGAGCGGCGCACGGGUGAGUAACGCGUGGAUAAUCUGCCCUGAAGAUCGGGAUAACAGUUGGAAACGACUGCUAAUACCGUAUAAUCUGCAUAUUUAACUUUAUGUGGGAAAGGUGGCCUCUAUUUAUAAGCUACCACUUUUGGAUGAGUCCGCGUCUCAUUAGCUUGUUGGUGGGGUAAUGGCCUACCAAGGCAACGAUGAGUAGCUGGUCUGAGAGGAUGAUCAGCCACACUGGGACUGAAACACGGCCCAGACUCCUACGGGAGGCAGCAGUGGGGAAUAUUGCGCAAUGGGGGAAACCCUGACGCAGCGACGCCGCGUGUAGGAAGAAGGCCUUCGGGUCGUAAACUACUGUCAAGAGGGAAGAAACUGUUAGGUUAUAAUACGGCCUUUCACUGACGGUACCUCUAGAGGAAGCACCGGCUAACUCCGUGCCAGCAGCCGCGGUAAUACGGAGGGUGCAAGCGUUAAUCGGAAUCACUGGGCGUAAAGCGUGCGUAGGCGGCGCAUCAAGUCAGACGUGAAAGCCCUCGGCUCAACCGAGGAAUUGCGUUUGAAACUGGUGUGCUUGAGUCUCGGAGAGGUUGGCGGAAUUCCAGGUGUAGGAGUGAAAUCCGUAGAUAUCUGGAGGAACACCGGUGGCGAAGGCGGCCAACUGGACGAGUACUGACGCUGAGGUACGAAAGCGUGGGUAGCAAACAGGAUUAGAUACCCUGGUAGUCCACGCUGUAAACGAUGGAUAUUAGGUGUCGGGGUUUUACUUCGGUGCCGCAGUUAACGCGUUAAAUAUCCCGCCUGGGGAGUACGGUCGCAAGGCUGAACUCAAAGGAAUUGACGGGGGCCCGCACAAGCGGUGGAGUAUGUGGUUUAAUUCGAUGCAACGCGAAGAACCUUACCUAGGCUUGACAUCCUGAGACCCUCUCGAAACGGA